Molecule: ribosomal RNA, 476 nt
Filed under: Acanthotomicus mimicus
Lineage: Eukaryota; Metazoa; Arthropoda; Insecta; Coleoptera; Curculionidae
Description: partial 16S ribosomal RNA
Rfam family: Bacterial large subunit ribosomal RNA
Source: RNAcentral
UCGCCUGGUUUUACAAAAACAUGUCUUUUUGGGUUUAUUUAAAGUCAGGCCUGCCCAGUGAUAAUUUAAACGGCCGCGGUAUUUUGACCGUGCUAAGGUAGCAUAAUCAUUAGUUUCUUAAUUAGAAGCUGGAAUGAAGGGUUCGAUGAAAAAGAUUCUGUCUCAGUUUUAAAUUUUGAAUUUUAUUUUUAAGUGAAAAAGCUUAAAUUUUGUUAAAAGACGAGAAGACCCUAUAGAGUUUAAUAAUUUAAUAAUUACAGAAGUCAAGGAAUCAGUUUGGUCUAUAAUAUUUAAAUUAUUUGGUUGGGGUGACUGAAAAAUUUAAUAAACUUUUUCUUAUUAAGAUACAUUGAUUAAUGAGUUUUUGAUCCUUUUUUAAAGAUUAAGAGAGUAAAUUACCUUAGGGAUAACAGCGUUAUUUUUUCUUAGAGUUCUAAUCGAAGAGAAAGUUUGCGACCUCGAUGUNGGGGAUUAAA